AACGCGAAGAACCUUACCCAGAUUUGACAUGCACAGGAAGAUAUCAGAGAUGAUAUUGCCUUUCGGGGCCUGUGCACAGGUGCUGCAUGGCUGUCGUCAGCUCGUGCCGUGAGGUGUUGGGUUAAGUCCCGCAACGAGCGCAACCCUUAUCAUUAGUUGCCAACAUUUUAGGUGGGAACUCUAAUGAGACUGCCUGGGUUAACCAGGAGGAAGGUGAGGAUGACGUCAAGUCCGCAUGGCCCUUAUGUCUGGGGCUACACACGUGCUACAAUGGUCGGUACAGAAGGCAGCGAAGCCGCGAGGUGAAGCAAAUCCCAAAAGCCGACCUCAGUUCAGAUUGUAGUCUGCAACUCGACUACAUGAAGACGGAAUUGCUAGUAAUGGCGAGUCAGCAACAUCGCCGUGAAUACGUUCCCGGGCCUUGUACACACCGUAGUAC
This 439-nucleotide ribosomal RNA is filed under the name uncultured bacterium. RNAcentral's name for it is "bacterial SSU rRNA". It matches the Rfam family "Bacterial small subunit ribosomal RNA", at positions 958 to 1398 of the family's 1533-position model. The record is from RNAcentral.